UUCCAGACUCCUACGGGAGGCAGCAGUGGGGAAUAUUGCACAAUGGGGGAAACCCUGAUGCAGCGACGCCGCGUGAGUGAAGAAGUAUUUCGGUAUGUAAAGCUCUAUUAGCAGGGAAGAAAAUGACGGUACCUGACUAAGAAGCCCCGGCUAACUACGUGCCAGCAGCCGCGGUAAUACGUAGGGGGCAAGCGUUAUCCGGAUUUACUGGGUGUAAAGGGAGCGUAGGUGGCAUGGUAAGCCAGAAGUGAAACCCCAGGGCUCAACUCUGCGGAUUGCUUUUGGAACUAUCAAGCUAGAGUGCUGGAGGGGUAAGCGGAAUUCCUAGUGUAGCGGUGAAAUGCGUAGAUAUUAGGAGGAACACCAGUGGCGAAGGCGACUUUCUGGACUGUACCUGACGCUGAGGCGCGAAAGCGUGGGUAGCGAACGGGAUUAGAUACCCUCGUA
This 447-nucleotide ribosomal RNA is filed under the name uncultured bacterium. RNAcentral describes it as "bacterial SSU rRNA". It matches the Rfam family "Bacterial small subunit ribosomal RNA", at positions 329 to 792 of the family's 1533-position model. The record is from RNAcentral.